GACGAACGCUGGCGGCGUGCUUAACACAUGCCAGUCGAACGGUGAAGCGAGUGCUUGCACUCGUGGAUCAGUGGCGAACGGGUGAGUAGCACGUGAGUAACCUGCACAUCACUCUGGGAUAAGCACUGGAAACGGUGUCUAAUACUGGAUACGACCAACCCUUGCAUGGGGUGUUGGUGGAAAGAUUUAUCGGUGAUGGAUGGACUCGCGGCCUAUCAGCUUGUUGGCGGGGUAAUGGCCCACCAAGGCGACGACGGGUAGCCGGCCUGAGAGGGUGACCGGCCACACUGGGACUGAGACACGGCCCAGACUCCUACGGGAGGCAGCAGUGGGGAAUAUUGCACAAUGGGCGAAAGCCUGAUGCAGCGACGCCGCGUGAGGGAUGACGGCCUUCGGGUUGUAAACCUCUUUCAGCAGGGAAGAAGCGAAAGUGACGGUACCUGCAGAAGAAGCACCGGCUAACUACGUG
RNAcentral lists this ribosomal RNA (469 nucleotides) under uncultured bacterium. RNAcentral describes it as "partial 16S ribosomal RNA". It matches the Rfam family "Bacterial small subunit ribosomal RNA", at positions 28 to 507 of the family's 1533-position model. The record is from RNAcentral.